RNAcentral lists this ribosomal RNA (253 nucleotides) under uncultured bacterium. RNAcentral's name for it is "partial 16S ribosomal RNA". It matches the Rfam family "Bacterial small subunit ribosomal RNA", at positions 524 to 776 of the family's 1533-position model. The record is from RNAcentral.
GACGAACCGAGCGAACGUUGUUCGGAAUCACUGGGUUUAAAGGGUGCGUAGGUGGUCCGUUAAGUCAGUUGUGAAAUCCCCGGGCUCAACCCGGGAACUGCUUCUGAUACUGGCGGACUUGAGGCCUGUAGGGGUUACUAGAACAGACGGUGGAGCGGUGAAAUGCGUAGAUAUCGUCUGGAAUGCCUGUGGUGAAGACGGGUAACUGGGCAGGUUCUGACACUGAGGCACGAAAGCGUGGGGAGCGAACGGG